CGCGUAGGCGGUUUGUUUAGUUAGGCGUGAAAUUCCUGGGCCUAACCUGGGGACUGCGCUUAAUACAGGCAGACUUGAGUUCCGAAGAGGGUCGUGGAAUUCCCAGUGUAGAGGUGAAAUUCGUAGAUAUUGGGAAGAACACCGGUGGCGAAGGCGGCGACCUGGUCCGAUACUGACGCUGAGGCGCGAAAGCGUGGGGAGCAAACA
Molecule: ribosomal RNA, 207 nt
Filed under: uncultured bacterium
Lineage: Bacteria
Description: partial 16S ribosomal RNA
Rfam family: Bacterial small subunit ribosomal RNA
Source: RNAcentral